This 418-nucleotide ribosomal RNA is filed under the name uncultured bacterium. RNAcentral's name for it is "bacterial SSU rRNA". It matches the Rfam family "Bacterial small subunit ribosomal RNA", at positions 355 to 786 of the family's 1533-position model. The record is from RNAcentral.
UGGGGAAUAUUGGGCAAUGGGCGAAAGCCUGACCCAGCAACGCCGCGUGAAGGAAGAAGGCUUUCGGGUUGUAAACUUCUUUUCUCAGGGACGAAAGAAAUGACGGUACCUGAGGAAUAAGCCACGGCUAACUACGUGCCAGCAGCCGCGGUAAUACGUAGGUGGCAAGCGUUAUCCGGAUUUAUUGGGUGUAAAGGGCGUGUAGGCGGGAGUGCAAGUCAGAUGUGAAAACUAUGGGCUCAACCCAUAGCCUGCAUUUGAAACUGUACUUCUUGAGUGCUGGAGAGGCAAUCGGAAUUCCGUGUGUAGCGGUGAAAUGCGUAGAUAUACGGAGGAACACCAGUGGCGAAGGCGGAUUGCUGGACAGUAACUGACGCUGAGGCGCGAAAGCGUGGGGAGCAAAACAGGAUUAGAUACC